UGGCGUGGCGAGGCGGCCGCCCAUCCCGCAUGGGAUGGGAGGAAAGUCCGAACACGGUAGAACUCGGUGGUGGGUAACACCCACCCUCCAAACUGGCGACGGUUUGGGGCGGGAUAGCGCCACAGAAAAUAUACCGCUCGUUGAUUCGUUGACGGGUAAGGGUGAAAUGGUGCGGUAAGAGCGCACCGCUGUGCUGGUGACAGUGCAGGCUAGGCAAGCCCCGCCGCGUGCAAGGCCAAGUAUGCCCCUGGUUGACGGUUAUGACCGGCAGCCACAGCUGGUUCGGCUGUUUGGGGGCGGGUAGGCUGCUGUGAGUUCGUGGGCAACUGCGGGCCUAAGAGAAAUGGUCGCACUCUCGAUGGAUCUCGAGAUUACAGAAUUCGGCUUAUCGUCACGCCACAAA
This 403-nucleotide RNase P RNA is filed under the name Phycisphaeraceae bacterium. RNAcentral's name for it is "RNase P RNA component class A". It matches the Rfam family "Bacterial RNase P class A". Rfam says of the family: Ribonuclease P (RNase P) is a ubiquitous endoribonuclease, found in archaea, bacteria and eukarya as well as chloroplasts and mitochondria. Its best characterised activity is the generation of mature 5'-ends of tRNAs by cleaving the 5'-leader elements of precursor-tRNAs. Lineage: Bacteria; Pseudomonadati; Planctomycetota; Phycisphaerae; Phycisphaerales; Phycisphaeraceae. The record is from RNAcentral.